Molecule: ribosomal RNA, 900 nt
Filed under: uncultured archaeon
Lineage: Archaea
Description: bacterial SSU rRNA
Rfam family: Archaeal small subunit ribosomal RNA
Source: RNAcentral
GUGCCAGCCGCCGCGGUAAAACCAGCACCUCAAGUGGUCAGGAUGAUUAUUGGGCCUAAAGCAUCCGUAGCCUGCUUUGCCAGUUUUCGGUUAAAUCCAUACGCUUAACGUAUGGGCUGCCGGAAAUACUACAAAGCUAGGGAGUGGGAGAGGUAGACGGUACUCGGGAGGAAGUGGUAAAAUGCUUUGAUCUCUCGAUGACCACCUGUGGCGAAGGCGGUCUACCAGAACACGUCCGACGGUGAGGGAUGAAAGCUGGGGGAGCAAACCGGAUUAGAUACCCGGGUAGUCCCAGCUGUAAACUAUGCAAACUCGGUGAUGCAUUGGCUUGAUGCCAAUGCAGUGCCGCAGGGAAGCCGUUAAGUUUGCCGCCUGGGAAGUACGUACGCAAGUAUGAAACUUAAAGGAAUUGGCGGGGGAGCACCACAAGGGGUGAAGCCUGCGGUUCAAUUGGAGUCAACGCCAGAAAUCUUACCCGGAGAGACAGCAGAAUGAAGGUCAAGCUGAAGACUUUACCAGACAAGCUGAGAGGUGGUGCAUGGCCGUCGCCAGCUCGUGCCGUGAGAUGUCCUGUUAGGUCAGGUAACGAGCGAGAUCCCUGCCUCUAGUUGCCACCAUUACUCUCAGGAGUAGUGGGGCGAAUUAGCGGGACAGCCGUAGUUAAUACGGAGGAAGGAAGGGGCCACGGCAGGUCAGUAUGCCCCGAAACUCUGGGGCCACACGCGGGCUGCAAUGGUAACGACAAUGUGUUCCGAAUCCGAAAGGAGGAGGUAAUCCAGAAACGUUACCACAGUUAUGACUGAGGGCUGCAACUCGCCCUCACGAAUAUGGAAUCCCUAGUAACUGCGUGUCAUUAUCGCGCGGUGAAUACGUCCCUGCUCCUUGCACACACUGCCCGUC